RNAcentral lists this ribosomal RNA (506 nucleotides) under uncultured bacterium. RNAcentral's name for it is "partial 16S ribosomal RNA". It matches the Rfam family "Bacterial small subunit ribosomal RNA", at positions 28 to 523 of the family's 1533-position model. The record is from RNAcentral.
GAUGAACGCUAGCUACAGGCUUAACACAUGCAAGUCGAGGGGUAACGAGAGGAAAGCUUGCUUUCCUUGUUGACGACCGGCGCACGGGUGAGUAACGCGUAUCCAACCUGCCCCCAACUAGGGAAUAACCUUGCGAAAGUAAGACUAAUACCCUAUAAUUUCCUCAGAUGUCAUAUGACGAGGAAUAAAGAUUUAUCGGUUGUGGAUGGGGAUGCGUCUGAUUAGCUUGUUGGCGGGGUAACAGCCCACCAAGGCAACGAUCAGUAGGGGUUCUGAGAGGAAGGUCACCCACAUUGGAACUGAGACACGGUCCAAACUCCUACGGGAGGCAGCAGUGAGGAAUAUUGGUCAAUGGGCGGAAGCCUGAACCAGCCAAGUAGCGUGCAGGAUGACGGCCCUAUGGGUUGUAAACUGCUUUUAUACAGGAAUAAAGUUAGCCACGUGUGGUUAUUUGUAGGUACUGUAUGAAUAAGGACCGGCUAAUUCCGUGCCAGCCGCCGCGGUAA